Molecule: ribosomal RNA, 448 nt
Filed under: uncultured organism
Description: partial 16S ribosomal RNA
Rfam family: Bacterial small subunit ribosomal RNA
Source: RNAcentral
ACACUCCUACGGGAGGCAGCAGUGGGGAAUCUUGCGCAAUGGGCGAAAGCCUGACGCAGCCAUGCCGCGUGAAUGAUGAAGGUCUUAGGAUUGUAAAAUUCUUUCACCGGGGACGAUAAUGACGGUACCCGGAGAAGAAGCCCCGGCUAACUUCGUGCCAGCAGCCGCGGUAAUACGAAGGGGGCUAGCGUUGCUCGGAAUUACUGGGCGUAAAGGGAGCGUAGGCGGACAUUUAAGUCAGGGGUGAAAUCCCGGGGCUCAACCUCGGAAUUGCCUUUGAUACUGGGUGUCUUGAGUAUGAGAGAGGUGUGUGGAACUCCGAGUGUAGAGGUGAAAUUCGUAGAUAUUCGGAAGAACACCAGUGGCGAAGGCGACACACUGGCUCAUUACUGACGCUGAGGCUCGAAAGCGUGGGGAGCAAACAGGAUUAGAUACCCCUGUAGUCCCA